AAUAGAUACCCAGGUAGUCCACGCCGUAAACGAUGAGUGCUAAGUGUUAGGGGGUUUCCGCCCCUUAGUGCUGCAGCUAACGCAUUAAGCACUCCGCCUGGGGAGUACGGUCGCAAGACUGAAACUCAAAGGAAUUGACGGGGGCCCGCACAAGCGGUGGAGCAUGUGGUUUAAUUCGAAGCAACGCGAAGAACCUUACCAGGUCUUGACAUCCCAUUGACCACUAUGGAGACAUAGUUUUCCCUUCGGGGACAACGGUGACAGGUGGUGCAUGGUUGUCGUCAGCUCGUGUCGUGAGAUGUUGGGUUAAGUCCCGCAACGAGCGCAACCCUUGUUCUUAGUUGCCAUCAUUUAGUUGGGCACUCUAAGGAGACUGCCGGUGACAAACCGGAGGAAGGUGGGGAUGACGUCAAAUCAUCAUGCCCCUUAUGACCUGGGCUACACACGUGCUACAAUGGACGGUACAAACGGUUGCCAACCUGCGAGGGGGAGCUAAUCCGAUAAAACCGUUCUCAGUUCGGAUUGUAGGCUGCAACUCGCCUAC
This 544-nucleotide ribosomal RNA is filed under the name uncultured bacterium. RNAcentral's name for it is "bacterial SSU rRNA". It matches the Rfam family "Bacterial small subunit ribosomal RNA", at positions 777 to 1319 of the family's 1533-position model. The record is from RNAcentral.